AUUCUUUCGCAGAGGCGAUAUCAUAACCUGUGAGGUCCAGCUGAGGAGUGAUUAUUGCUGGUUGAAAACUUAUCCCAAAACCCUGCUUUGGAAUGACUUGAAAUAUAGUCAGAAGUAGUCUUUGGGGAGAAUAGACUC
RNAcentral lists this small nuclear RNA (138 nucleotides) under Salmo salar (Atlantic salmon). Its description in RNAcentral is "U4 spliceosomal RNA". It matches the Rfam family "U4 spliceosomal RNA". From Rfam's summary of the family: U4 small nuclear RNA (U4 snRNA) is a component of the major U2-dependent spliceosome. The structure of U4 snRNA from yeast and human has been reported. The record is from Rfam by way of RNAcentral. Lineage: Eukaryota; Metazoa; Chordata; Actinopteri; Salmoniformes; Salmonidae.